This 17017-nucleotide long non-coding RNA is filed under the name Nicotiana benthamiana. RNAcentral's name for it is "long non-coding RNA (NBEN_LNC003202)". The record is from RNAcentral. Lineage: Eukaryota; Viridiplantae; Streptophyta; Magnoliopsida; Solanales; Solanaceae.
CAAUUCGUUAGCAGACUUGUUUUCUCAAGAAAAGAAUGCAAAUGUCUCAAGCAGAUUGUCAAAUCAUAACGCCCCAGCUUACAACCCAAAGCUUCAAAUAAUGGGUGAAUCGUCAACUGCUGGAAUCAAAACAGUUGAGCAAAACAGUGAACAAAAGCAGAUUAUACCUAUAUCGGCUAUGCAAAUAUCUUCCGAACAAGGACAGAUCCACAAUGGUAAGGAAGCAAUGCUUACAUUUGAAGAAGGGGAGGAAGAAGAGAUGUUAAUGCAAUGUCGUAAAGAUGCUGCAAGAAAAGGUGAUUUAUCUCCAAUGCACAGUAAAUGAACAAGGACAGAUUCACAAUGGUAAGGAAGCAAUGCUUACAUUUGAAGAAGGGGAGGAAGAAGAGAUGUUAAUGCAAUGUCGUAAAGAUGCUGCAAGAAAAGGUGAUUUAUCUCCAAUGCACAGUAAAACAAACAAGAAAGGUCGUCAAAGAGAUAGAAGCUGGGACGGCAGGGUGACAGAAGAAGGUAACAUAAGACGCCCUCCAAUGAGAAUCGCGAAACUAAAGCAGUUGUCGCAAAGAAACAAUAACUAAUCAUCAAUUAUGAAUUAUGAAGAUCCUUAGCGUUUUUCAUAUCUUUGUUAAUUUCAUCAAUUGUAACAUCAUCACAGAGUAAUUAUAAACUCUGGGACGAUCAUAUUUCAUUUGGUGUAUUUUGUUUUAAUUUCUGUAUUUUUAUUUUGCUAUUAAUAAAAUCUUAACCCUAGGCUUUGCCUAGCGGUCGCCAAAAAAAAAAAAAGUAUGAACAAAAGGUUUGUUUUAAUUUCUGUCUUUUUAUUUUGCUAUUAAUAAAAUCUUAACCCUAGGCUUUGCCUAGCGGUCGCCAAAAAAAAAUUCAUCCUACAAUGGAUAUAGGAAAGUUCCUGGACUGGUGAAAAGGUUGAUGUCUUUGUCGCGUGUUGACUCCCAAGUAGUUGCCUCGACGGGGUGAUCUCUCGACUGCAUUCGAACAAAAGGAUAACUCUUAGACUCAAUUGUCGAACCUGCUGGUGUUAUGCCCUAGACAUGAAGAGGCAUGGCCGCCACCCAAUGCUAUACUUUACCUGAGCGUACCAUCUAUAACUUUAUACUCUAGAGGGCUAACCCUCGUACCACUCUAUAGCUGUAUACUCUAGAAUGAUAACGCUUAACUUAGGCCGAUGAGACCAUAUUCUGAAUCAUCUAAAAUAAUGAUUCUCACAUCUGAGGGAUAAACAUACCCAAAAGCUCGUGUGUAUGUGUGUGUGUGUAUACAUAUAUAUAAGCCUAUAGAGAUAACUGAACAGUUCCAUGGUCAUGACUGGCUUUGACCUACCCAUCAAACUUGUAUACAUAAAAUGGACUCCUAGGUCUAAAUCGUAUAACUCCGAGGAAGUGGAGCUUAUGAACCAAGCUGAUGUUUGACUCUAUUGGGAGGGUCUGUCCAACUAUCAAUGAGGACCUGUAGGCAUAAAAUGCAGCAUCCCUAGCAAAGUAAUGUCAGUAUGAAAUAAUGUACUGAGUAUGUAAGGCAACGAAAUAACUGAAAGUUGAAACCGAACUGAUAAAUAAUAACUGAAAAUGGUUGGGACUCAAAGAUUAUUUGAAUAUAUGCUUACUUGCUGAUACUGACUCAAAUCUCUCUCUCUCUCUCUCUCUCUCUCUCUCUAUAUAUCCAUUCAAAUUCAAAGCCUUCAACUACAACUCUUCUUUCAAAUUCAUUCUGAUUUAUCCUGAAAACCAAAACCAACGAUCUACAUCAGCCAUAAUAUACGUGGGGAAAGUCAUGCUCGGGAACUGGCAAUCAAAGUGCAAAAUCUCUAAAGGACUGGUCGGAUCGUUAUAAAAGACUUUCUAAAAAACACCUGGACCGCGCACCUAAAUCGAGGAAAGCAAAAAUAAGGAAUAUAAGGCUUCAAAAUAUAGAAUUUGGUUCUGAAACUCUAGAUGACCUGUCGGGUCAUCACAUUCUCCGCCUCUAAUACAAUCAUUCAUCCUACAAUGCAAUCAUUAAUCCUACAAUUCGUUAGCAGACUUGUUUUCUCAAGAAAAGAAUGCAAAUGUACUGAUAUACAACCUAUACAUAAUUCAUCUAUAAGCCUCUAGAGCUAACUGAACAGUACCAUGGUCAGGACUAGUCUUUGAUCUACCCAUCAAACCUGUAUACAUAAAAUGGACUCCAAGGUCUAAAUCGUAUAACUCCGAGGAAGUGGAGCUUACGAACCAAGCUGAUGUUUGACUCUAUUGGGAGGGUCUGUCCAACUAUCAAUGAGGACCUGCAGGCAUAAAAUGCAGCAUUCCCAGCAAAAGGAAUGUCAGUACAAAAUAAUGUACUGAGUAUGUAAGGCAACGAAAUAACUGAAAGUUGAAACUGAACUGAUAAAAUAAUAACUGAAAAUAAUUGGGACUCAAAGAUAACUUGAAGAUAUGCUUACCUGCUGAUACUGACUCAAAUUUCUCAAUAUAGUAAGUAAAAUAAUUGUCCAGUCUUAUAAGGCUCGGUAUCUAUAACUGCUCUGUCAAAGUAGGCUCGCUCAAAGGUGCUUGGUCAAUCAGUAUCUCAUUUAUUUUGGGCUAGCUCAUAAACGCUCGACCAUAGUAGGUUUGGUAUAUAACUCAUCAUCUGAUUAGAGGUUACCCAAUGGGGGCCUACCCAUUGAUUAUAGCUUGAUGGUGGUAAAAAUACUAUAAUAUUGUGUGUAUAUAUAUAUAUAGAUUCUAUACUCUCUUGGGUGAAAAAAUACAAAUCUAAACGAAAUAUGAAGUUCACAUAAGGGAGAAUGCUAUUACUUGUGAAACUAGGAAAAUGUACAUAACUCAGGAAUAUGAACUUCUCUUUAUGUCACGUUAUCAAACACAUCUAGUUAUUAGAUCAUGCUAAAAUGAAGGAAAGGUCUAUCCUUAACAUACCUUAUCACAAACUGUCUAUUAACCACGUUAAAAUCAUCUCAUUACACGUUAAUCUACAAUAACUACAACAAUACUAUGAUCAAAUUAUGGAAGGUACAACUAUCGUACAACGAACAACAAGCUUAUUUUAUAAUAAAAUGGGCAGCAUCCCCCUUAUAAUCUUUACUUCCUCCUAGUUUGACAUAACACCAAAAACAACAAAAACACAACAAUAACAACAUGCAUACAUUAUUUCCAAACUUUAUUUCCAUCACAAAAUUCCAUAAGACAGUCCAACUUACCGCUAUCACUUCAUACACAAAAUGACAACCAUAAUAGUAUCAAACAAUCCGAAAAUGUUAUGACGAACGACUAGCCAACCAUCCUGUCAUUAUGUGGUAUUUCUCCACGCCCUUUAUCCUCCAAAACUCCAUAAGAACUAUAGCAAAAGAGACAACCCAACAGCAAUAAGAAACAGCCCAAAAAAGUAGUCCCACAAGUUCAACAAGUCAAAAUUGAUUUUUCAUUUUAUUAAAACACCUUUAGCUUGUCUUUUCUUUCAAAUUAAGAAACACGACUAAAGUUACAUAAUUCAGCCUAUUAUCCAAUAAACCAACCAUUAAUUCAACUAAAAAUUAAGUUUACAAGCAAACAACAGCAACAAACAACAUACCACUCUUUCGAAACUGGCUAGAUCUAGUCUUUACGAUCGAGUUACAACUCGUACAAGCAUAGUUAAUGGAAGGAGAAGCAUAAAUUUACCUUGAACUGAGUAAAACCCACGAAACCUAGCCCUUCUUCAUACAAAAUCAUUCCCCCAACACAACUACAGGAAGGAGAAUAAGAAACUAGCAAGUUAUCUAGGAUUUCGGCAUUAGAAUCAUAUCAUAACACCCGAAAUAACCAACGGUUUGUGUGGGAUUUUGGGGNNNNNNNNNNNNNNNNNNNNNNNNNNNNNNNNNNNNNNNNNNNNNNNNNNNNNNNNNNNNNNNNNNNNNNNNNNNNNNNNNNNNNNNNNNNNNNNNNNNNNNNNNNNNNNNNNNNNNNNNNNNNNNNNNNNNNNNNNNNNNNNNNNNNNNNNNNNNNNNNNNNNNNNNNNNNNNNNNNNNNNNNNNNNNNNNNNNNNNNNNNNNNNNNNNNNNGGGGGGGGGGGGGGGAUGCAGGGGAUCAAUCUGAGUAUUUUUGGUCUGAUAAAUAAGUGAAUUAAAUGUGUUAAUAAUUCCUUAGAGCUCACCUUUUUCCCAACUUUAGGGAUUUUAAUUGAGGCCUCGCCUUUUGGCAAGUAGGUGAUGCACCUAAUUGUCACCUACCAUUCUACGCAGUCUCGUGAAAAUGCAAAUAUCUCUGUAAUCCAAUAUUUUAUAAAUGAAUGGUUUAAUCCGUUGGAAACUAGACUUGUAGAUCUUCAAUUUGGAAGGUACAUCAUCCUAUAAUCCCAUGUAUAUUGGGAGAAAUGCUCAGCUGCAUUUUACCUAAUUUUUACCAUAUUUAUGAAUGUAACUUGUAAUGACCUUUUCCAACUUUUGUUCCUCAAUGCUCAUGAUUUCAAAACACGAGACACGACUAUCAUACGACUAAAAUAACUCAUAAUAAAAUCUCCAUAUAAGGUUAAACAAUGUUGUCUCGCCCUAAAAGUGCAUGUUAUAACAUUCCCAACUUGUCGACUUUUGAUGAAACUUAUUUUCUUCAAUUCAUAUAGCUUCUAAGCCUUCAAAUCCUCUUGGUACUUUGUAUUCAUGAUCUUAUAUAUUUGUAACUUCCAAGUUAACAUGAUGUACUUUCACAAAUAAUCUCAUUUUAUAGCUUACAUCAGUUGACUUGUGACGUACAAUUACGUAUGAAAACAUGAGGUGUAACAUCAUUCCCCCUGUUUACCGUGAAAAUGGUAAUAACAAUUAAAUUUGACGAUGGAACUCUAAAAAUACAUGAUCUAUUUUUAUGCUAGUUGUAAGCAAUUGAUGCUAUGUGUAUGAGAUUUAGAAAUGAAAUAAGUGUUAAGGAUAUGGUGAUAGUCAAACUGAUAGAUUGUAAAUCAGGGCCUCGAGCUUGUCAAUUCGUGGACAUCGAGGUUGAUUCUGGGGCUCAACUGUGAGCUAUUGAGGAUGAUUGAGGUACGUCUAACAGUUAUAAUAAAAUUAAUGAAGAAUCUUUAUCAAUAAUGGUAAAUUAUGAACAAAUGGAAAAAUAGCACAUAAUAGCAAUAAUAUUAGGAGAACAUGUUAGAGAAUAAAGAGAAUAUUCUUCUAUAUUUUGUUUAGGAUAACUUAAGCAACAGGGGUUUACAAAGUGACAAUGAUCCCCUUUAUAUAGGAGGAGAAUCCUAACAUAGUACAAAAUACAUUAAUUACAAAGAUAUGGGGAUAGGACAACUAGAUGACAUUAGGCUCUGUCAGUACUAGUUGUGUGCCUUGGGAACUCCCCAUUUCCAUCAUGACCGCAACAAACAUUGUCCCUGGAUUAGGCAUCCAAGAACCUGAAGGGAGGAAACUCGACCACAACCUUGUAUCCUCGAGGCUUCGGGAUGAUCUUCUGAAAUUCCUUAAUGACGAGAAAUUGGACCCUUCGAUUUUGCCGUAUACAGAUAGUCCUCACGUUUAUUAGAGAGGAGCGAUAAAAACGACCUUGAGAUCUAAUUUUGCAAACUUCCUAUGACAACGUCACAUUGAUGACAUCAUGCUUAUAAGGUAAGCUUUUACAAUAACCGGGGCAUCCCAUAGACUUAUUUUUUCAACGUCAUUCAAUGCGCUGCCGAUUCCCAUUCUUCAAGGCUAUAAUAUUACCGUUGAUUCAAUUUUCAAUGACGCAUUGAUUGCGCCUGCCGACCGUCUUUCAAAGGCUUUGAUGGUGUUGCUAACCAUACUAUCUCCCCCUAUAAGUGGUGUCCUUCUAGUGCUAUUAUCUUACCCCAAGUGUUUUUCAAAAUCUAUCCAUUCUUCUCUCCUCACUGUUCUCCUCCAUUUCUGAUCACCAUGUUUGGGGUUCACGGCCUAAAGGUUGCAUGGCAGCAUUUGCAUCCGCUACGUGAUGGCCUUAUGUCUAAUCUUCCCCUUGCUGAAUGAGAUUAUACUAUCUUGUCAUUGUUUCUAUUGUUGGUAUGACUACUAUUUAUGUCAUUGUUGGCUUGAGGUGAUGAUACAGGGGGGCUAACUUCAUUUAAUUUAGAAGGACGUUUGGACUCUACACCGCUACUCAAGAGAGUGUUUGGACUACACAUUGCUACUCACUCUCCUACCCUGGCCUGGUGUGUCACUUAAUCCUUGGAAUUUUUUUCCCAAGGGGAAAAAUGGCACAAGCGGCCAUUGAACUUUCACGGCAUGAUGUCCCAGAAUGUGGAUUUGGAGUGGCUGUACAAGUAGGUUAAUGCUCGUCGAAUCUUCAAUCUUUGGCUUUGAUGGGCUAUGUCUCUUUCUUCUGCCUCUUCUGUAUCACUUUCCUCUUCUUUAUCUUCGCCCUCGGAGAUAUUAUUUUGUGGGAUCGAGAUAGGAAAUUAGAGCAGGUGUUGGAUGAAGAUAUUACUGUCGAGGAUGCAUGUUCGAGGAGACGGUUCUCGAAGAUGCUGCUGCAGAGGAUGCACCUUCGAGAGUAGACUAGGCUCUAGGCUUUUACUAUAUGUGUACACCUGGGCAUUUGUAAUGAUAUGUAAGGACACUCCCCCCCCCCCCCCCCCCCCCNNNNNNNNNNNNNNNNNNNNNNNNNNNNNNNNNNNNNNNNNNNNNNNNNNNNNNNNNNNNNNNNNNNNNNNNNNNNNNNNNNNNNNNNNNNNNNNNNNNNNNNNNNNNNNNNNNNNNNNNNNNNNNNNNNNNNNNNNNNNNNNNNNNNNNNNNNNNNNNNNNNNNNNNNNNNNNNNNNNNNNNNNNNNNNNNNNNNNNNNNNNNNNNNNNNNNNNNNNNNNNNNNNNNNNNNNNNNNNNNNNNNNNNNNNNNNNNNNNNNNNNNNNNNNNNNNNNNNNNNNNNNNNNNNNNNNNNNNNNNNNNNNNNNNNNNNNNNNNNNNNNNNNNNNNNNNNNNNNNNNNNNNNNNNNNNNNNNNNNNNNNNNNNNNNNNNNNNNNNNNNNNNCCCACAAUGGGUUAUUGGAACAAAAUAUUUAUGAAUAAAAAGAUAUUCCUUAAAUUAUUUUCUUUGAUGCUUGCUAUAUUCUCUUUCAUUUGCAUUUGUGGAUACUCUAAAUGCAUGACUUUGUCUGCUAUUACCAAUAUCGAACCUGGGUGCGAGUAUUCUUUCUGCCCUUCGAUUGAUAAUAACAUCUUUUCGUGGAGUCCUUUGCCAUUUCUUGAGCAAAAAAUAGAUUAAUCCGAUAAACUCAGGUUGUCGGAACCCUUAUUUUGAGAUGAAUGGAAGUAAUGCUUCGAACCUUGAGACUGUGAUUUAUCACUUAGACCAUACGGUAGUCAUUAAGGGGAAAUUCAUUUGGAAGUUCGAGGAUGGAGACUACCUUUAGGCUUUCAAGAGCAGUCCCCGAUUGAGGAUUAACUCGGGGUGUCAGGAGACUUGUCUUGAACUUAAUGUAUAUAACCUUAAGGCAUUAUAGAUAGGUCCCCGGAUGAGGGACUGCUUGGAUUUAGAUGAUACCAUAAGGUCAAACCCAAACGGAUGGAGCUUGAAGUGCUUAUUUUUCUUCUUGAGAUGAGCCUUCUUAAUCCGGUACCACCUCGAAUCUUGCAAUGAUGUUAAAGGCCUCUCGGAGCCAAAAUUAUUUUUGCAGAGGUCCUUGAGGUUGAGUACCACCUUAGGAUAAGAUAUGAUGGCGUUGGCUUCUUAAAGCCUAACUUCAUUUUGAUGAAGAUCCUCGAAGUCGGCCACCUCGGGACUAGUGAUGAUGCCAACGGCUCCCUGGGGCCUAACUUCCUUUUGGUGGAGGUCCUUGAGGUUGUGUACCACCUUAGGACUGGAGAGGAUGCCAAUGGCUUCUUAAAGCCUAACUUACUUUGUAUGAAGAUCCCCGAGGUUGGUUACCACCUCGGGACUAGUGAUGAUGCCAAUGGCUCCCAGCGGCCUAACUUCCUUUUGGCGAUGAUCCUCGAGGUUGGUACCACCUCGAGGCUAGAGAUGAUGUUGUUGGCUUCUUAAAGUCUAACUUCAUUUUGAUGGAGAUACUCGAGGUCAGGUGCCACCUCAGGACUGGCGAUGAUGCCAGUGGCUCCCUGGGGCCUAACCUUCUUUUGGCGGAGGUCCUCAAAGUUGGGUACCACCUCGGUACUGGAGAUGAAUCCAUUGGACUUUUAGGCAGGCGGGUCGCUGGUAUUUUUUUCCAUAUAUAGGUUCGAUUCCACUCCUUUGGAGAUACCACUAUUUUAGAUAGUUAUCCUCCCUUUUCAUCAUUAAGCCUUUCAUUACCUCAGCACUAAAGUGCUUCCAUAGGUUUCUGUUUUGGUUCUCUAGUCUCUCUAUAGCCCCAACUGCUACAUCAGGUCUAUCCGGUAAAGAGGGGAGAGUUACACGCCCGACACUCAGCACCAACGAGAGUUUGAAUCAAAGAUUACUUAUUCUAUAGGAGAGGAGGAUCUUGAGUUAGUGAGGAAAGACUACGGAUGGGGGGAGAAAAUAGUGUUACAGACACUUUUCCUAGAUGAGGGCAUCUUGGAUCAUGCUUAUGGAUUCCUGAAUGUGUACACGUAUCCUUUCACACUGGGUCCCCUUGAUAGGGUUGUGCUCAACUUUUUUUAAGGUGUCGAUAACUUUGGAACAAAUCCACCCAUCAUUUUAGCGAAAAGUGUUGAUGAUAAUAUUUUUUAUGGAGGAGGCUCGACUUGAAUUCACGCUCAGUCAUCUCAUUAGGCUGUAUCAACCCUUUCGCCAUCAAGGACUACAAACCUUGCAGUGUCGGUCGACCACACCCUUUGUUGUUGAAGAUGAGAAAGAUGGAGGUUGGGAAUGGAUGAGCCGAUUCAUCCAGGUAUAGACUGUUGACGUUAUCCCUGUGGAACUUAUGCGAUUCACUGAGGAAUGGAACUAUUCACGUAAGUGGUACAUCUCAUGCCUUUUCAAAUAUUUUCAUAGCAAAGGCUAGUUUCGUAACCGUGUUUUUCCUAUUCUAUAGCGGUUUUAUGGAUGUCGGGCAACAUUCCUCAUCAACCUGGUUGGGUUCGAGAGUUGGCGACCCACUCAACUUGUGAGGAGCGCAAGUUGCAAACUUUGUCCCAUGGCAGAUGGGAAGCAAAACACCACGGUGCGUGUUGUACUACAUUUUCCUUUCCAAUCAAUCAUUUGGAGAGACAUUUUCCCUUUCUGUGUGUUAAUCUUAUUGUUGUAGUAUCGGAGAGCCUUUUGAGGAGAGGUCGUGCUCCUCUGGGGAAGGAUAAGGGUUGCCAGCUUCCAUGCUAAAGAACUACAAUAAUAAGUGAGAUAUGCCUUCGUAGGGCGAUGGAGAUCAAAGUAAGGUGAAACAGGGUCGGGGCUUCGAGAUAAGAUCAUCGUCUGAGCUUGCCGCACCGUGGUUCCUAAUUCUGUAAAGAUGGUUUCUCAAAGUUACCAUGCCUCGAUCAGAGCCGAUUCUUUCAGCGCUGAGGGAGCUAGACCAACAUAUGUGCGCUCGGCCUUCAAGGAAGUUUGGUGACUUCACUUCGUGGUGAGUUUCAAGAUAGGCCUUUUGAAUCCCAUGUCUUUCUUUCCUUAUCGAGUUUUCUUUUAUAGGCCAUUGGCAGGCUUAAGUUUGAGCUGCUUCAUCGUGAAUCCAGGCUCCGGAAAACUCUAUAAGAAGAUAGAUCCCUUAGGUUUAUUUGCAAAGAAAAGGAACUCGAGCUACCAUGGGGAGAUUUGGAGCUUGAAUUAUGAGAGCUACUUGAUAGAGCAGGUAGUUUUCCAUCUCAGCUGAGUAUAUGUUUUGGAUUCUAGCUUCUGAGGCUAACACUUUGUCUAUCCUAAUUGCAGAAAAAGAUGGAAGCCCUUGAGAAUCUUCGGGAUAAAGCUGGCUGAGCCAAGAGUGAAUAUGAUGAGCUAAGAGCUCGAGCGGAGGUUCAGGCUAUGGAGAAGAAGGGUGCCUUGGCUAAAGUUCCUACCCUCGAGGCUCAGCUUUGGUUAGCUCAUGACAAUGCUUUAGUUCAAAGAGUACGAAGCUUGAAUCAGAGCUUUCGAAGGUUAGGGCUGAGAUCGUUGAUGUCCGGGCUGGAGCCGUACUGAGCCAAACUAAGGCUGAUCAGGAGAUGGAGAUUUAUUUAAGGGAUGCUACCAAUUCUCAGUAUUAGUUGAGAAGGACCCUCGAUCGUGAAGAGAGGAUCAAAGAAUAUGCUCGUUGCAAGUAUUGAAAGAAGACUCUCGAGGAGAUCCGCACUAGGUGUUUGUUCUCUCAGAAGAGUUGGUGCAAGUGAGGGCAAACAAGCAUGAUGCUUGGUUACUUCUAUCUGACACUAAGGAAAGCGAAGAUGAGGCUAGCAAACUGUAGCUCCUAAGGGGAGGGCGUAGAUUUUGCCAUUUUGUAUAUAGCAUUUUCAAAGAAAGUUUUUAGAUGGAGAUUAUGUUUUUUCGCGUGAAUUUACUUCUUCUGUACCCCUUUCUGUCUUAAAUUUGGCCAGGUGAACUGGUCUCGGAGUUGGUGGGAAUCCUUAGAUUCAUGAUAUGGUCCUGGGGUUUAUUAGGCUGGCCCAUAGGCUCUUAUGCGCUUGGUCGAUGCGACCUUUAGUAUAAGCUGCGUUUGAGCUCUUAUGCUUUUGUUCAACUAUUUUGGGUAUAGUCUCUAAGUCAGGAACCGACUCGAGCUCAUUUGACCCUCAAGUAUUUAUAUUUGCAUGGGAUGGCGACAAUGGCUCUUACGCCUUGGAUCGAAGCGAUCUUUUAUAUGUGAGGCCCUAAGGCUCAUUAGGCUGGAAAUGAUGGCUCUUAUGUUUUGCCCUUUGGCAUAUGUAGUUAACUAUUUUGGGUUCAGUCUCCGAGUCUAAAACUAACUCGAGCUCAUUUGACCCUCAAGUUUUAUGCUUGCAUGGGUUGGAGACAAUGGCUCUUACACCUUGGAUCGAAGCGAUCCUUUGUGCCGGAUGGCGACUAUGGAUCUUCUGCCUAGGGUCAAAGAAACCAUUUGUUGGCUUUAUUUUUCCCUUGUUAAGGACUUCUUGAGAUAAUUUGCCUGACUUUUCAUCAUUUCAGGAAGAACCUCGAUUACGAGUCAUUUUGCGGCGAUGAUCGAGCACCUUGGGAGGUUUGGCUCAGAGGUUGAGUAGCUCGAAGCCUGUGAUUUGGAGCUGACAUGGUCGGAGCUCUUUCGCCUAUGCCAAGGGUAUCCUAUUUAACCAGUUCGUUUCAAAGUAGAUUCGAAGUAAUUGAAGGCCUGUGAUUUUGAAGCGACGGUCGAGCGUCUCCGAGCUGCAUUAGUUUGGCUGGUACAGCCUUAUGACCAUGGUAAUUUAUGCUUGGUUGGAGCCAUUUUGAUACCGAGUAAAGUUGUUUAGACGUCUAUAUUGAGGGUAUGCCUUUUGAGGAGUCUUACAAGUUUGAUAUAUAGCCUUAACUCCGGGAUCGAGUUUAUGACAGUAGUAAGGUCUUACAAAAUUUUCAUGCCUUUGAGGUAUUACAGCUUUUAGAUACUUGAUACAAGUAUGGUUCAUGCCUUGUUUGAGGUCUUGCAGAUUUGUGGAUACUUGGUACAAGUAUGGUUCAUGCCUUUCUUGAGGUCUUACAGAUUUGUUGAUACUUGGUACAAGUAUGGUUCAUGCCUUGCUUGAGGUCUUACAGAUUUAUCUAUACUUGGUACAAGUAUGGUUAUUACCUUGCUUGAGGUCUAACAGAUAUUUUUGUUGCCUUAUGUAGGUCUUACAAGACUGAGUCUACCCGCUCGGGGUAAUAUAGCUAUGGGUUUUUUAAUGAAUGGUGAUUAGCGGUAGUCCUCAAGUCAUCGAGGGUAUCCUGGAGCGAGAGCUAUUACUCGUAAACUUGGUAUUUCCUCUUUGAGAGCUUAUGACAUUGGAGAUCCUCACACAGAGGUCAUGAAAUUUUGGAGGUUUUGAUGCUAGUCCCCGAGUGUUCAAGAUGUUUUCGACCUUGGAGAUGUUUCAUGAUUUUCAUGUUGCCUCGUUGGGGUCGUGUGAGUUUGGAUUUUCGGCCUAGAGGUCGUUCAGAUGUUGAAUUGUCGACGCCAAUCUCCGAGUCUUUAGGAUAUUUUCUAAGGAGGAAUCAUUUUUGCAAAAAUGCUAAGUUUUCUUUGGAGUAUGAGAUGCUUCAAUAAAGGUAUUCUUCGAUUAGUUGAUACAAGUACACAUGUUUUCUCCGCCGGGGUCCCGGCUAUAUGGACACGGUUCGUUUGACCGUUUGGCCCGAUACAUACUUUUCCUAUUGGGACCCCACUUGGAAUUUCUUGGCUUUUCUGAGUGGGUGACCUUCCGGGGGGAUGCCUCCCUUUGUUCGGUUUGAUUGAAAAAAUAACCUUGAGUACUUGGCGAGUCUUCCUUGGGUAGCAUGUGGAUGCUGCUUCGAUAAAAACCAUGCCGACAAAACCUCAUUCUGGGACAAAAAGACAGUCAAAGGAAAAGAGUGCAACGGAUGGUUUAGAACCUUAAGAUCUUUGGGGCAGAGUCGAUGUUUUGACUACUUCAGUCGGGCGCCAACAUAAGGGUUAGUAGGAAAUACGAAAUGAAAAGGGAGAUGGUUAUACCUUAGUGUAGGAUGUGCCUGUGAUAUUUUGAGGUUUGAGUUGUCCUAGUAGCUUAUGAUAAGGAUGUGGUACGGUCCUUUGCUUUGUUUAAUUGGGCUUAAUCAGAAUUGUACUUUGAUUACAGUUUGACAUUUCAAUGAGUGGAGGUAUUGGUGUCGUUGCCACAUCGUGCACCGCGAACAUUUACCUUGCCGCAUGCUAUUCCCUGUAGAAGGUUUUACUCCCAUCCUUCUUCGGGAAUCUCAUCAUUUGGUGGAGGGUGGGCGGUACUGCUCUCAUGCAGUGUAUCCACGGCCAUCCGAACAAGGCGUUAUACCUCAUGUCUAAAUUGAUGACAUGAAAUUUGACAUUUUAGGUUGUGUCGGUGUUGUUUCACUCGCCAUUUAAAAUCUGUUGAGGACUCGAGCGGCAGGCAUAAUCGCUUCCUACUCCGCACAACUAAAAAGUAUGAAGAGAGGGUCACAAUAGCUUUUACCCGAUUUGUGGGUCGGGAUUGAUUUCCAUAGGGAGCUAGGAAUGGAGUCAAGUAUCUAUUUAGAGUGAAAUUGCGUACUUGUUCCAAAUAUCACUUCCAAUCAUUUUUGGGUUUUUCUUCAAUAAUCUACUAUGUUCAACUACUAAUUAUAAUUUCAGCUAAAUUAUGAUAAGCAAGAAUUUCUACAAGUUGUAUCUAAUGGAUGAAAAGGCACUAGGGUAGUGACUUUUACCUAGGUGGCUAAUUGACGGGUAAUAGCUUCUAAGGCAGGAUUGACAUGAUUGGGGAGAUAUGCUAUAACUGUUCCACGAUGUUACCCACUCUCACACCACUCGGUAUAGAGAGUGAUUUUGCAAGACCAAUUAGGUAGGAAAAUUUUGCUCAAGCGACUAGGGUUCGAGUCAGGUAUUAACUUUUUCGAGGUUUAACCUUUUAAUUGGGAUAAUCAAAUCUCUUGAGUCCGUCUUAAUUCCUUGUUCGGUCCAUUUUGGAGACUUUGACUCUCUUUCUCAAGAAGAGCAAAAAAUUCAUCUUAGCACAAACAAGUUUUUGCAACCAUUAAUUCAUAAAUUAAACCAUAAAAUUGACCCAAAUAACAAACACCAUAGCCAAUCUAGCUCUAAAUUGCAAGACCCAUCAAUUACCCACACUAGGGUUGAGCCACAACCCUAGCUAAUAGGUUUAGCUACUCAUGCAUGAAGAGAAAAUCAGAUAAAUAGAUGAAGAGAAAGACAUAAUAUUAAAUUAAUGAAGUACAUAUAAUGAUUCAAUGACUAAAACUACGUUAAACUGCCCAAAAUGGCUACAAAAUGCCUUCUCACUACCCCAGCUCAAGUCUGGUAAUAGUUGAUACCUAUAAAUGCUAAAAGGUUUUAUUUAUACUAAGUUGGAAAAAUUGGACAAAAAUGCCCCUGCGAGAUCAGUACGGACAGCACAAAAUGGUGUAUGACCGCGGAGGAGUCUAGUGUGGUCCACACAAACACGACCGCGGAAUGUAUAGGCUUGAAACUUGGCACUUGACAUCUCUCUGAAGUUUGCAUACAGGGACCACAUAAAAUGGUAGUUUUGUUGCGAUGUCUUUAGUGCGAAGCACAAUAUGUACUGCGGCCGCACUACUUUGACACCUUCAAAUCCAGCUCUCUGAAUCUCCCUAGUAUGGACUGCACAAAGUAUAGUGCGGCCGCUGUAGACUUUUUUGUCCUGAGUUUUCUUGUCUUUGGUAGUUUUGCUGUUUUCACUCCUUGUGAGCCGAUCUUUGACGUCUCGUCACUUUGUUGAUAAAACUUGCAAUCAAGCACAACUUAUGAGCCUUUUGAGACUAUUUUGUAAGAAUUUAUAAUCAAAGCAUAAGAAUGAAGGAGCAUGAAACACGUCAAAAUCCCUGGUUAUUAACUCCCCCAAACUUAAGCUUUUGCUCGUCCUUAAGUAAAUAAAAUAAGACCCAUCCCAUAAGGCAAAAUCCAACAAUUUUCAGCUAUACUAAAGUAACCUCAAAUAGCAUCAUUUGGGACUAACAAUUUCCCUCAACACAAAUGAAUCAUUAAAAACCUUUAACCUUUGAAAACCCAUGGAUCAAGUGUGACACAAGAGCAUCAAGAGCUCACUCAUUACAUCAAAGCACUCUCUCAAUUACUUUGGUCAUUGUGGAGCCCAAACUCACGCAUCAUCAACUCUCCCUAAGCACACCUCACUUUUUUGAAUAUUGGCAUACAAACUGAGGUAAAUAGAAAUUCACUCAACUCUCUCAAGGAAAAGUUACAAGUCUGGCUCUAAGUACCAUAUGCUUGCACCUUGUGUAAGUUUCUACUAAUGUGAGCUUAUUCAACUCAAGAUGAUAUAGGGCUUUUGUGGAGUCUUUGUGAAGUCUUUUGGUUUAAGGUAGGACAUCUUUUUGUUUAAGUGGGUUCCAUCUUCCCUUACGCCCUUCUUUUGAUUCAUUUGUCACAAUUCACUUGAAUCUUUGAGUCAUUUCACUUCUUUCUAAGGGGUUAGAGAGACAAAUUGUCACUCUUUCUUAUGCUAUUCAAACCUUUUCUCUGAGGUUUGAGUUGUCCUAGUAGCUUAUGAUAAGGAUGUGGUACGGUCCUUUGCUUUGUUUAAUUGGGCUUAAUCAGAAUUGUACUUUGAUUACAGUUUGACAUUUCAAUGAGUGGAGGUAUUGGUGUCGUUGCCACAACGUGCACCGCGAACAUUUCCCUUGCCGCAUGCUAUUCCCCUUUCUAUGAGUGGAGGUAUUGGUGUCGUUGCCACAACGUGCACCGCGAACAUUUCCCUUGCCGCAUGCUAUUCCCUGUAGAAGGUUUUACUCCCAUCCUUCUUUGGGAAUCUCAUCAUUUGGUGGAGGGUGGACGGUACUGCUCUCAUGCAGUGUAUCCACGGCCAUCCGAACAAGGCGUUAUACCUCAUGUCUCAUUUGAUGACAUGAAAUUUGACAUUUUAGGUUGUGUCGGUGUUGUUUCACUCGCCAUUUAAAAUCUGUUGAGGACUCGAGCGGCGGGCAUGAUUGCUUCCUACACCGCACUAUAAGAAUUAUGAAGAGAGGGUCGCAAUAGCUUUUACCCGAUUUGUGGGUCGGGAUAUAUUUCAAUAGGGAGCUAGGAAUGGAGUCAAGUAUCUAUUUAGAGUGGAAUUGCGUACUUGUUCCAAAUAUCACUUCCAAUCAUUUUUGGGUUUUUCUUCAAUAAUAUACUAUGUUCAACUACUAAUUAUAAUUGCAACUAGAUUAUGCUAAGCGAGAAUUUCUACAAGUUGUAUCUACGGAUGAAAAGGCAGUAGGUAGUGGCUUUCACCUAGCUGGAUAAUUGACAGGUAAUUGUUUCUAAGGCACAAUUGACAUGAUUGGGGAAAUAUGCUAUAACCGUUGCAUGAGCACUAGGGUAGUGACUUUUACCUAGGUGGCUAAUUGACGGGUAAUAGCUUCUAAGGCAGGAUUGACAUGAUUGGGAAAAUAUGCUAUAACUGUUCAACGAUGUUACCCACUCUCACACUACUCGGUAUAGAGAAUGAUUUUGCAAGACCAAUUAGGUAGGAAAAUUUUGCGCAAGCAACUAGGGUUCAAGUCAGGUAUUAACUUUUUCGAGGUUUAACCUUUUAAUUGGGACAAUCAAAUCUCUUGAGUCCAUCUCAAUUCCUUGUUGGGUCCAUUUUGGAGACUUAGGCUCUCUUUCUCAAGAAGAGCACAAUUCAUCUUAGCACAAACCAGUUUUUUCAACCACUACUUCAUAAAUUAAACCAUAAAAUUGACCCAAAUAACAAACACCAUAGCCAAUCUAGCUCUAAAUUGCAACAUCAUCAAUUACCCACACUCGGGUUGAGCCACAACCCUAGCUAAUAGUUUUAGCUACUCAUGCUUGAAGAGAAAAUCAGAUAAAUAGAUGAAGAGAAAGACAUAAUAUUAAAAUACUAAAUUAAAUAUAAUGAUUCAAUUACUAAAACUACGUUAAAGUGCCCAAAAUGGAUACAAAAUGUCUUCUCAUGACCACAGCUCAAGUCUGGUAAUAGAUGAAGUACGUAUAAUGAUUCAAUGACUAAAACUACGUUAAACUGCCCAAAAUGGCUACAAAAUGCCUUCUCACUACCCCAGCUCAAGUCUGGUAAUAGUUGAUACUUUAUAAAUGCUAAAAGGUUUUAUUUAUGCUAAGUUGGAAAAACUGGACAAAAAUGCCCCUGCGAAAUCAGUACGGACCGCACAAAAUGGUGUAUGACCGCGGAGGAGUCUAGCGCGGUCCACACAAACACGACCGCGGAAUGUAUAGGCUUGAAACUUGGCACUUGACAUCUCUCUGAAGUUUGCAUCCAGGGACCACAUAAAAUGGUAGUUUUGUUGCAAUGUCUUUUGUGCGUAGCACAAUAUGUACUGCGGCCGCACUACUUUGACACCUUCAAAUCCAGCUCUCUGAAUCUCCCUAGUACGGACUGCACAAAGUAUAGUGCGGCCGCUGUAGACUUUUUUGUCCUGAGUUGUCUUGUCUUUGGUAGUUUUGCUGUUUUCACUCCUUGUGAGCCAAUCUUUGACGUCUCGUCACUUUGUUGAUAAAACUUGCAAUCAAGCACAACUUAUGAGCCUUUUGGGAC